UGACUUGAAGUGUAGAAUUGAGGAAGAGGAAGUUGAGUUGUUGAAAGACUAGCUCUGAUGUAUGCUGAUGAUUCUGACAAUGACUCAUUCAGAAUUGAAAUUUUGCUAACAUGUUGUCAUUCAAUCUGCUAUGAAUAUACCACACUUGAUUGAAUAGUGAGUCUAUUGCUUGUUCAUUGAUGUUCAAUUUGAUGUUUGUUUUUGACUUUCAUAUGAGAUAGAGUACUAGAUCUCUCUUGUAUUUAUUGAGGAUUGAAAGCUUCUCUCUUGAGGGCUUUUUGUGAGACAUGGGUGUAGAAGAAACAGUGAA
This 310-nucleotide small RNA is filed under the name Histoplasma ohiense. Its description in RNAcentral is "hypothetical lncRNA". The record is from RNAcentral. Lineage: Eukaryota; Fungi; Ascomycota; Eurotiomycetes; Onygenales; Ajellomycetaceae.